AUUGAACGCUGGCGGCAUGCCUUACACAUGCAAGUCGAGCGGCAGCGCGGGGGCAACCCUGGCGGCGAGCGGCGGACGGGUGAGUAAUGCAUCGGAGCGUGUCCUCUUGUGGGGGAUAACCAGUCGAAAGAUUGGCUAAUACCGCAUGAGCUCGCAAGAGGAAAGCAGGGGACCCGCAAGGGCCUUGCGCGAGAGGAGCGGCCGAUGCCCGAUUAGCUUGUUGGUGAGGUAAUGGCUCACCAAGGCGACGAUCAGUAGCUGGUCUGAGAGGAUGAUCAGCCACAUUGGGACUGAGACACGGCCCAAACUCCUACGGGAGGCAGCAGUGGGGAAUAUUGGACAAUGGGCGAAAGCCUGAUCCAGCCAUGCCGCGUGAGUGAUGAAGGCCUUAGGGUUGUAAA
RNAcentral lists this ribosomal RNA (401 nucleotides) under uncultured bacterium. RNAcentral's name for it is "bacterial SSU rRNA". It matches the Rfam family "Bacterial small subunit ribosomal RNA", at positions 29 to 429 of the family's 1533-position model. The record is from RNAcentral.